UGAUAUAAUUUAGAUUUUUAGAAUAGUUUGGUUACCUGUUGKAAAUUCGAAAUUGAAAUUCAGAUGCAUAAAGUUCAGCUGCAAAUAGAGUUAAGAWACCAAAUAUCGUCGGUGUGGGUAGGAGCGCUACGCCGAAGAAGUCGCCAUGGAGAUGAGAGAUACUCCUCAUUCGCGUCACGAUCCGGACUCUAGAAGAAAGAAGAGGAUUAUUUGCAUUGUGGUUGUCGUUUUAGCCAUUGCCAUAAUAGUCAUUGCGACUUUAGUAAUAAAUUUCUGUUACCCAAACCUUUUCAAGAGAAAGGACAAAGAAAUAAAAUAUAGAUACGAAUAAAUGUAUUAGUGAAUCAUUCCGGACUGAAAAGGAAAUAAAGAGAGCAUAUUGGUUUUGUGUCUUGGUCUUUCCCCUAAAUAAAGAUUUCACAUUUUAUGCUUCAGAGAACUGAACGAGGYUGUUAUAUAAAUAUUCA
Molecule: long non-coding RNA, 467 nt
Organism: Drosophila arizonae
Lineage: Eukaryota; Metazoa; Arthropoda; Insecta; Diptera; Drosophilidae
Gene: krimp
Source: RefSeq, a predicted model, not a curated record